RNAcentral lists this ribosomal RNA (497 nucleotides) under uncultured bacterium. RNAcentral describes it as "partial 16S ribosomal RNA". It matches the Rfam family "Bacterial small subunit ribosomal RNA", at positions 28 to 507 of the family's 1533-position model. The record is from RNAcentral.
GAUGAACGCUGGCGGCGUGCCUAAUACAUGCAAGUCGAGCGAACGGACGAGAAGCUUGCUUCUCUGAUGUUAGCGGCGGACGGGUGAGUAACACGUGGAUGACCUACCUAUAAGACUGGGAUAACUUCGGGAAACCGGAGCUAAUACCGGAUAAUAUUUUGAACCGCAUGGUUCAAAAGUGAAAGACGGUCUUGCUGUCACUUAUAGAUGGAUCCGCGCUGCAUUAGCUAGUUGGUAAGGUAACGGCUUACCAAGGCAACGAUGCAUAGCCGACCUGAGAGGGUGAUCGGCCACACUGGAACUGAGACACGGUCCAGACUCCUACGGGAGGCAGCAGUAGGGAAUCUUCCGCAACGGGCGAAAGCCUGACGGAGCAACGCCGCGUGAGUGAUGAAGGUCUUCGGAUCGUAAAACUCUGUUAUUAGGGAAGAACAUAUGUGUAAGUAACUGUGCACAUCUUGACGGUACCUAAUCAGAAAGCCACGGCUAACUACGUG